AACGAUGUCGUUUAUGAGCUUAU
RNAcentral lists this small nuclear RNA (23 nucleotides) under Arabidopsis thaliana (thale cress). RNAcentral's name for it is "snRNA_15832". Lineage: Eukaryota; Viridiplantae; Streptophyta; Magnoliopsida; Brassicales; Brassicaceae. The record is from RNAcentral.